This 114-nucleotide ribosomal RNA is filed under the name Pseudomonadota bacterium. Lineage: Bacteria; Pseudomonadati; Pseudomonadota. RNAcentral also lists the same sequence under 1 other name. The record is from RNAcentral.
CCCUGGUGCUUUAAGGAUGAAGGCCAUACCCCUUCCCAUUCCGAACAGGGUCGUCAAGCUUCAUCCUUCCGAUGAUAGUCUGCAGAAGCAGGCGAAAGUAGGAUGCGCCAGGGC